GGAAAGAUUAAUAGUGAGUUAAUGCCACACUAGAAUUUGCACUCAAAAUGCCUGAGUUGCUAUACUACUCUCUAGCUACCUACCACUGAAGGCUUCCAUUUAGAACUCCACAUUGUAUAUUGUAUGUAUAAACUAGCAGUGUAUAUAUAAACUAGUUCAACAGCAUUGUAUAUAUAAACUAGUUCAAACUACUAUAGAAUGCACAUGAAAAAGUCAUAAUAAUAGAGAUGGGGGGUCUUGCUAUGUUGCCCAGUACAGUUUUGAACUCCUGGCCUCAAGCUAUCCUGCCUCCUCAGCCUCCACAAUAGCUGAGGUUUCAAGCAUGAGAUACUGUGCCUGGUCUGAGUAACCAAUUAAUGCCUACAAUAAAACUCCUGAAUGAAUAUUGGAACUACAGGUUGUUGAUGUUUUUCUCAUCGACGAGAGCUCUUUGGUCAACUGUAAAGAAACACUUAUGAAACUGCCAUCAUCACAGUGAAUAAGACCAAAAAUGAAGACCUUGAGAUCAGAUAUGAGUACUCAAUCGAUUCAGCACUGCGUAUCGCCACUGCAAUUAAGACUAAAUGAAGUGAAAACGCUUUUUAACAAGUAUGUCAUACAAAGUGCUAUGAUUCAUCUACUUACAAUGGAAUUAGAAUUCUGGAAAUGUGUCGCCAGAUUUUUUUUUGCCAUUAGAGAGGAUUAAAUUGUACAAAAUAAGUGCAUUGUCUGUUAUUUAUGACUCAGAUCUAAAAUUUUUCUUGGUAAAUGAAUAAAACCUUUAUAUAACCAUUAAUCUGAUCUCUGGUAUUUCAAUAGUAAAAAGGAAAGUGUUGACAUUUUACAAUUCAUUGCUGAAAGAAACCUAUAAAAUGGAGUGCCAUCAUCUCAUUGUUUCUUGAUACAGACCGGUCACAAUUUCUAUACUAAGUUUUAAGUAUGCUGCAGUUUUAACUUUCAAGCACCAUCGUAUAAUUGAAUUUAUUUACAUACUUUUCAGAUCAUAUUGGAACCUGGAC
RNAcentral lists this long non-coding RNA (998 nucleotides) under Homo sapiens (human). RNAcentral's name for it is "HSALNT0089921". Lineage: Eukaryota; Metazoa; Chordata; Mammalia; Primates; Hominidae. The record is from RNAcentral.